CAUUACACUGUUCAUGCUCUCGGCUAAUGAAUGAAUGGCAGUCCAACUUCCUCUCGCGGGACUCUCCUUUCUAAAUAUCGCGGAGUUUCCUUCUGUUUUGUAUGUGUGUGGCAGGCGUAGUUUCGGGCAAGUCUAAGAAAGGUGGAGACUUUCGGGAUAACUUCCUGUACAGUAAUCUUGAUAUCAUUAGCUACAAAGAUAGGUUUGGUUGGCUAUUCAAGCAAAGACGAAUGGCUUAAGUAACGGUGUGCUGAACUUGAUUAUCGGUAUUGAAUUAAAUACACAUACAGUAGCUAGCAUUCAAGCUGCUAUAUAACUCAAGCAACCGGAUAGCAGAUUCCAAACAUCUCAUAUAGCGAGACGGUCCUGGCCACAUUGAAGGACAGUAUGGUAGAGGUUGUGGUGGAGUAUGAGUACGAAGCCCUCCAUGAAGAUGAGCUGACCCUGAGGCUGGGAGAAGUGAUCAGGAACGUCCGCAGGAUCGAGGAGGAGGGAUGGAUGGAGGGAGACCUCAACGGGAAGAGAGGACUCUUCCCUGACAACUUCGUCAAGGAGAUGAAGAAGGAGCCCAAGGAGGUGAAUGUGACAAAAGAGGAGGCCAAGGAGGAGACGCAGCCCCAGCGGAGAGAGAAGAGUGCAGGGAAUGUGGCCAACCUGGUCCAGCGGAUGAGCACCUACGGCAUCCCAGCUGGGGGCUUCCAGCCACACUCACAGCCCCGCGGUCUCAAGAAGAAACCUAAGAAGCGGCAGUGCAGGGCUCUGUUUGAAUACAUGCCCCAGAACGAGGAUGAGCUGGAACUGAAGAUAGGGGAUAUCAUCGACAUCAAUGAGGAGGUGGAGGAAGGCUGGUGGAGUGGAACCAUGAAUGGCAAAUCAGGACUGUUUCCCUCCAACUUCGUCAAAGAGAUGGAGACGAACGCAGACGGACAGACAAAUGACUUAACAGAUGAAGCCGACGCCAGUGGUAAAGAAGCUCUGCUCCCCCCCUCCCCCACCCAACCCUCUCCAGGCAAUGGAGUGAUCACCCAGCCCAAGAAGAUCCGGGGGGUGGGCUUUGGGGACAUCUUCAGGGAAGGCUCGGUCAAGCUAAGGGCCCGCCUGCCCAGCACAGAGGGAGAGGAGAAGAAAGACAAACCAAUCCCAUUAUUACCAUCUGCCGCAAAGCCCGCCCAUUCCAACGUGACAGACUCACAGAAAGCAGAGGGGGACAGCAAAGCAAAAGUAAAAGAAUACUGCAAGGCCACAUUUGCGUUUGAAGCCACAAACCAAGAUGAGCUGACACUGAAAGAGGGCGACGUCAUACAGAUUUUGAGUAAGGACACAGGGGAGCCGGGGUGGUGGAGAGGGGAGAUCGGAGGUAAAGAGGGAGUUUUUCCUGACAACUUUGUGGCUGUGAUGUCAGACGCAGACAAAGAGCCGGCUCCCACAUCAAGAGGAUCAGUCAAACUGUCUCCCAAGCAGGAAGCAGAAGAGAGACCCAAGAAGCCACCCCCACCAUCAAAAAGCAUAGCUCGCAAACCCGAGGUCCCGUUGGCUGACAAGAAGCCCCUGCAUGCGCAUCCUGAGGACCGAGGUGACAAGACAGAUCAAAAACUGUCAAAGCCUACUGCCCCUCUGGUCCCACCCAAGAAACCUGUCCCCCCGCCAGGCAAGAGUAAACCAGGCGUCCUCCCCCCAAAACGUCCAGACAAGCCUCUCGCACCCUCCCUAGGGGCCAAGCACAAUGGAGAGGUGCCUUCCACACUUCCAAAGUCUGAUUUUGAGCCAACGUUACCCAGCAAACCAAAAACACUGUCGGGUGACUGGGGGGACAAAGCCCUUGACAUGGACCUGAUGAGCUUUGAUGAUCUGUCAUCUACCUCUGAGAAGCUGUCUCACCCCACCGCUAACAGACCAAAGAUGGCUGGCAAGAGGCUUCCCGCUCAGUUUGGAGGAGGCCACUCUCCAAACAAGGACAUCAGCGUGGAGAAAACCUUCAUGUUUGACGAAGAGGACCGCCCCAAGCCAAAGUUGAUAGACGCAAGAAAGGUCGUUUUCCUCCUGGCAUCCAUCUCGCCGUCCCUCCCUCCCUCCCUCUGUAUGUAAGCCACCCUGUUGCUGUAUGAAAGCCCUCUUAUCUUGAUGAACCCUGAUCCCACCGGCUCCAGUACAACACAGUCGCAAGCCUCUGGCAUUAAUCUCCCUGAGGUCACACAAGAUGUACGUACACAUACGUCCAGUUAAUCAUUUACACGCAUGCAGUCACACGCACUCACGCAGAUAUUCACAUGCAUUCACAAAAUAAUGCUCUUUUGCAAUCCAACAAAUCCACCUAGGCCCAAUGCAAGGCCGAUUUUUAGUCAUACUGGGAGACGGUGCUAGUUGUCCUACAGAGGUCGAAAGGGGGGGGGGGCAUCCUCAUGUUUCUAAUGAAAGCUUCAUGUCCAUCCUCGUGUGUGUCUUGUUAGCGUUUCCUCAGAUGCCCAGUGGGGGAGUAAAGCGGACAUGCACCUCACGCUGACUCUGUGUGGGCAGGCCAGUGCCACUGGAGGCCCUCUCAAAGCACCCACCAGACUCUGGGGGCACCAGCUGUUUACCUGUACCACUUAAAUCGAGUGACUAAUCCCUGCGCAUCAAGCCCCGUAACUGUGGGCUACAAACUUCUAUAGGUUGAACUAAAGAUACCCUUUGGCUCCUUGGACAUUUAAAUCCUUUAAAAUUAGAUGUUGACCCUCUCGGCAGAGGAAAAUAAGGAAAUGAAUGAAAACUAUAUCCUGAGGUGAUGGGAGGCAGGAGAACACAAUAUUAAAGCAGCCCUGACAUAACUUCAGAGGGAGAAACAGGGGAUCAGUUGUUCAAUCCAAAUGAAAUGGCCUUCUGCAGCUACAGUACGAACUGAAUGCUCUGCAACAGUGUUUCAAAUGGCUACUGUAGCUCCCUCCUAGCAAUCAUGGCUGGUCGCUGAAGACAACUUACGCCAUCCAUGCCCAGCUCACACUCCCAGUCUCCCGU
RNA transcript from Oncorhynchus keta (chum salmon), 2991 nucleotides. It is a transcript of the gene named CD2-associated protein, with no coding region annotated. The transcript has 18 exons. NCBI's taxonomy places the organism in Eukaryota, Metazoa, Chordata, Actinopteri, Salmoniformes, Salmonidae. The record is from RefSeq and is a predicted model, not a curated record.